UACGUAGGGGGCAAGCGUUGUCCGGAAUCAUUGGGCGUAAAGAGCGCGUAGGCGGUCCGGUAAGUCGGUUGUGAAAACUGGGGGCUCAACCCUCAGAGGCCGACCGAUACUGUCGGGCUAGAGUCCGGAAGAGGCGAGUGGAAUUCCUGGUGUAGCGGUGAAAUGCGCAGAUAUCAGGAGGAACACCAAUGGCGAAGGCAGCUCGCUGGGACGGUACUGACGCUGAGGCGCGAAAGCUAGGGGAGCGAACGGG
This 253-nucleotide ribosomal RNA is filed under the name uncultured bacterium. RNAcentral describes it as "partial 16S ribosomal RNA". It matches the Rfam family "Bacterial small subunit ribosomal RNA", at positions 524 to 776 of the family's 1533-position model. The record is from RNAcentral.